This 3470-nucleotide long non-coding RNA is filed under the name Homo sapiens (human). Its description in RNAcentral is "HSALNT0067253". Lineage: Eukaryota; Metazoa; Chordata; Mammalia; Primates; Hominidae. The record is from RNAcentral.
UGAACCCGGGAGGCGGAGGUUGCAGUGAGCCAAGAUCGUACCACUGCACUCCAGCCUGGGCGACAGAGAGACUCCGUCUCAAUAAAUAAAUAAUAAAAAAAUAAUUUUAAUGUCUGAGCUAUUUUUUGUCUGUGACACUUCUACUGUGUCUACAUGAUAAACUCCCACACACUCCUCAAGAUCCAAGUCAAAUGCCAUCUCUUCUGUAAAUUCCCAUUUCCUAGCCACAAAUGGUUAUCUCUGCUGUUUUGUUGGAGGGAUGCUUGAAAACAUGAGUAGUAAAACUACACAAUAAUACAUGUGAAAAAUAGCCAAAAUAAUUUUUUUUUUUUGAGAUGGAGUCUUGCUCUGUUGCCAGGCUGGAGUGCCAUGGCGCGAUCUCGGCUGACUGCAACCUCUGCCUCCCGGGUUUAAGCGAUUCUCCUGCCUCAGCCUCCCAAGUAGCUGAGAUUACAAGUGUGCGCCACCACGCCCAGCUAAUUUUUAUAUUUUUAGUAGAGUUGAGACGGGGUUUCACCCUGUUGGCCAGGAUGGUCUCGAUCUCCUGACCUCAUGAUCCGCCCACCUCAGCCGCCCACAGGGCUGAGAUUAUAGGCGUGAGCCACUGCGCCCGGCCAAGAAUUUUAAAAAGUUUAAAUUAUCCAUCACGUUCCUAUCCUUAAAGGGUCACUAUUCCUGUAACUCUUUGUAUCAGCACAUAAUUGUGCUGAAGGAGCGGUCUGUAUACCUCUGCUGUGGUCUGUACAUCGUAAGGGAACCAUCUGUCCACAUCUGUCGCCCUGAAGGGAGAACCUGGCAGGGGCCCUGGGUGUGUCUGCUGAGAAGGACUCAGUCUUUGUGAGGAACACUGGAGAACGGUGGCUGCUUCUUCCCCCGUGAGCUGCUGCCAGGUUGCUUUCCCAGUGGGUGCCAGGAACAAGCCUGGUUGCCCUCUCCCAGCCCCGGCUUUGCCUCCCCCCAUGAUUUCUAAUCCAGAGACGCCAGCACCUUUCUGGGAAGAGGGGCUGUCCAUGUCAUCACAACCACUCCGACCCCAGACCCACUAAGCAACUCAGUCCCCCAAAGCCAUCUCAGAACCAGAACAACUCAGCCAGUCCCUCAGGCAGAGGGAGAGCCUGACAUUGGUCUUAAGGAAGGUGCCUUCUCAUCGGACUGCGAAGGGGUGCUGGGGCGCGGGCUGCCACACAGGGUGAUGGGAAGGGGGCCUGGGUCUGUCAGGAUCCCAGCUCACCGAGAGAGAGGAGGGGAACAGGCAGGUGCCAGGGUGGGAGGGCAGAGCACAGAGGCAGAGGCAGACACACCAGGCAGGGCCCUGCUAUGCCUCGUCCCCUCCAACUCCAGUGGAGAAGGGAAUGUCACUUGAGAGAGGAGGGGUGAGGAUCUGACUAAACAGCGUGACCCAGUCCACACUGAACCUGAGGCUGACUGGACUUGGUGGGGCUGACACGUGGAGACAAGAGCAUCCAUCUGUAUCAAGUCUUGAAAGUACUGUGAAACCGUUUCAUGCUCCGCCAGCUGAAGACCGGAGUGUCAACGCCGACACAAAGAGACAGUACACUGAGGGCCCUAAUGUGCUCCUGGACCAUCGCUCCCCAACACAGACACCAGCAGCAGUGGGUGGCAGAGGACACAUUGCUGCAGCUGUCUGGGUCUCACUCCCAUGCACGCCACACAUGCCCAGGUGCCGAGGCCAGGACACGAGUGCCGCAGAGAGCUGCCUCUCGUUGCCUGUCCUGCCCAUGCACUGUCACGGCACGGGGGCCCAGAGGGAAGGAUGUGGUCUAGCUCCCAGCAGCUAGCCACUCCCAGAGAGAGCUCUUCCAGGGCUGGGCAGAGGCUGCCCGGCUCGUCAUCCUGCCUGCUGCCAGCUCAGGCCAUACCCCACCCCCAAGCCCUACGCAAGAGUCCAGAGCUGAAGGGGCCUAUUGUUGGCCCUGGAGGUGGAGUGUGGAAAGAAGGAGUGGAGAGGAGAUGCCAGAGCUGGGAAGUGAACAUUCAGUCUACAAGAUACACUGCUCAUUCCCUCAGGACCAUGUCUACACCAAGACCCAGGAGCUGGGAACAUGUCACCUAGAGCAGGCCGCAGGGCCCAGGAGAGCCUGGGAGCCAGAGAAAUGUCCGGUGCUUCAAGACAUACACCUUAAAUCCCACUGGACCCUGCUCACCAUCUGACCUUGAAGAGCCCGGGACCCUCAAAGGGGAAGGGGCGUGCCUGGUCCAAGGUACCAGGAAGCUGUCAUCGGGAAUGGAGGCUCAUGGAGGCUCAGGAUCUGGGGGAGGGCAAAUGUUAGCGGAAGGGUGACUCUCUUCUGGCCACAGGGUAGGGGGAGAGCCCUGCCAAGGUCAGGGUACCAGAGAAGAGGCCCUGCUUCAUUGGCAGACACAGUGUACAGGGGACAGAGAGAAACAGAGGAGUCCAAUGUUGGCAGACACAGUAUACAGGGGACAGAGGGAAACAGAAGAGUCCAAUGUUGUUACAUCCAGCUGGGGGGCCCAGGAGGUACAGCUGCUGAGGAGGAAGAGAGGGACCAGGAAAACCUCCCUCCCCUCUCACCUUCCUUAGACACCCACCAUGCACCCCACAUGCCCACCCGAUGCUGGUUUCUGGGAGAAUAUGAAGGGGCAGAAGUCAUAGCCUGGGUCCUCAGGAAGACACUAUGCGCCAGCUCUUCACUGAGAGUGUACCUUCACUGGCUGACCAAAAACCUGCCUUACUACCCCAGAUUAUCCCCACUUUACAAAUAUGGAAACCAGCUCUGGAGAGGUGGCCAAGAGCACCCAGAGAGUAAAAGGUAAAGCCAGCAUUCAGCCCAUUCACGACUGUACUGCUUGGCACAAGGAUGCGGGCCCAUGGAGGUCCCCGCGGAAGUCUUAUGACCCACAUUGGACUCGCUGAGUGGAUACCAUGUCAUUCACUGACGCUGAGUGAAUGCAUGGAUUCUGUGAGGAAGUCUGAAGAAGGGACAGGGGUUCCAGGAAAAAACAGUAGAUUCCACACAGUGUCACUCCUUCCUGAAACCUCACCAGAACAACAAUUAAAAAAGGAUGUUCUGAAUGCCAUAGGCCCCUAGGGAGGGGGAGAAUGGUAGAGGAAAAACCACCACAGAACUUUGGAAGCUGGAAAGCAGAUGGGCUGGUGGCAGUUGAGAGCUGACCCAAGAAAAUCACAAAUCCCAGCGUGAGAGACACUUGACUGACCGCCUGCAAUCCUCAAAAGCCCAGGAACUGGCAGCCCCGGAAACCUCUGGAAGAAGAGGUGAGUGUCAGAAGGGCAAUGCUAAAAUACAGGGGAUUACUGAAAAGUUAUUUAAGAGACAGUAAGGGCCGGGCGCGGGGGCUCACGCCUGUAAUCCCAGCACUGUGGGAGGCCGAGGUGGGCGAAUCACUUGAGGUCAGGAGUUCAUGACCAGCCUGGCCAACAUGGUGAAACCCCAUCUCUACUAAAAAUACAAAAGUUAGCCAGGCGUGGU